This 245-nucleotide ribosomal RNA is filed under the name uncultured bacterium. RNAcentral describes it as "partial 16S ribosomal RNA". It matches the Rfam family "Bacterial small subunit ribosomal RNA", at positions 524 to 776 of the family's 1533-position model. The record is from RNAcentral.
UACGUAGGGUGCAAGCGUUAUCCGGAAUUACUGGCGUAAAGCGCACGUAGGUGGCUGGGUAAGUUGGAUGUGAAUCCCGGCUUAACUUGGAAUUGCAUUCAAGACUGCCUUGCUAGAGUGUGGAAGAGGAAGCGGAAUUCCAGGUGUAGCGGUGAAUGCGUAGAUAUCUGGAGGAACAUCAGUGGCGAAGGCGGCUUCCUGGUCCAACACUGACACUGAGGUGCGAAAGCGUGGGAGCAAACAGG